UACGUAGGCAGCAAGCGUUGUUCGGAAUUACUGGGCGUAAAGAGUGUGUAGGCGGUUCGCCAAGUUUGGUGUGAAAUCUCCCGGCUUAACCUGGGAAUUGCGCUUGAAACUAGCGGGCUUGAGUGCGGCAGAGGGGGGUGGAAUUCCACGUGUAGCAGUGAAAUGCGUAGAGAUGUGGAGGAACACCGAUGGCGAAGGCAGCCUCCUGGGCCAGCACUGACGCUCAUGCACGAAAGCGUGGGGAGCAAACAGG
This 253-nucleotide ribosomal RNA is filed under the name uncultured prokaryote. Its description in RNAcentral is "partial 16S ribosomal RNA". It matches the Rfam family "Bacterial small subunit ribosomal RNA", at positions 524 to 776 of the family's 1533-position model. The record is from RNAcentral.